This 120-nucleotide microRNA precursor is filed under the name Procavia capensis (Cape rock hyrax). RNAcentral describes it as "miRNA (ENSPCAG00000020249.1)". Lineage: Eukaryota; Metazoa; Chordata; Mammalia; Hyracoidea; Procaviidae. The record is from RNAcentral.
CCCAGUUAAAUUUGAAUUUCACAUCAACAAUGAAAGAUUUUUAGUAUAUGUGUGCCAUGUGCAAUACUUGGGACAUAUUUAUACUAAAAGUAUUUGUUGUGUGUUGGAAAUUGAAAUUUA